GUGGGGAAUAUUCCGCAAUGGACGAAACCCUGACCCAGCAACGCCGCGUGAAGGAAGAAGGUUUUCGGAUCGUAAACUUCUAUCCUUGGUGAAGAUAAUGACGGUAGCCAAGAAGGAAGCCCCGGCUAACUACGUGCCAGCAGCCGCGGUAAUACGUAGGGGGCAAGCGUUGUCCGGAAUGAUUGGGCGUAAAGGGCGCGUAGGCGGCCUGGUAAGUCUGGAGUGAAAGUCCUGCUUUUAAGGUGGGAAUUGCUUUGGAUACUGUCGGGCUUGAGUGCAGGAGAGGUAAGUGGAAUUCCCGGUGUAGCGGUGAAAUGCGUAGAGAUCGGGAGGAACACCAGUGGCGAAGGCGACUUACUGGACUGUAACUGACGCUGAGGCGCGAAAGUGUGGGGAGCAAACAGGAUUAGAAACCCGUGUAGUCC
This 425-nucleotide ribosomal RNA is filed under the name uncultured bacterium. RNAcentral describes it as "partial 16S ribosomal RNA". It matches the Rfam family "Bacterial small subunit ribosomal RNA", at positions 354 to 796 of the family's 1533-position model. The record is from RNAcentral.